This 120-nucleotide ribosomal RNA is filed under the name uncultured bacterium. RNAcentral describes it as "partial 16S ribosomal RNA". It matches the Rfam family "Bacterial small subunit ribosomal RNA", at positions 30 to 149 of the family's 1533-position model. The record is from RNAcentral.
AUUGAACGCUGGCGGCAUGCUUUACACAUGCAAGUCGAACGGGGUGCGGGGGCAACUUCGCAUUCAGUGGCGAACGGGUGAGUAAUGCAUCGGAACGUGUCCCGUAGUGGGGGAUAACCC